CUACGGGAGGCUGCAGUGAGGAAUAUUGCACAAUGGGGGGAACCCUGAUGCAGCAACGCCGCGUGGAGGAUGACGCAUUUCGGUGUGUAAACUCCUUUUAUAUGUCAAGAAAAUGACGGUAGUAUAUGAAUAAGCACCGGCUAACUCCGUGCCAGCAGCCGCGGUAAUACGGAGGGUGCAAGCGUUACUCGGAAUCACUGGGCGUAAAGGACGCGUAGGCGGGUUGGAAAGUCAGGUGUGAAAUCCUACAGCUUAACUGUAGAACUGCACUUGAAACUUCUAAUCUAGAGUAUGGGAGGGGGAGAUGGAAUUAGUGGUGUAGGGGUAAAAUCCGUAGAUACCACUAGGAAUACCUAAAGCGAAGGCGAUCUCCUGGAACAUUACUGACGCUAAGGCGUGAAAGCGUGGGGAGCAAACAGGAUUAGAUACCCGAGUAGUC
Molecule: ribosomal RNA, 439 nt
Filed under: uncultured bacterium
Lineage: Bacteria
Description: partial 16S ribosomal RNA
Rfam family: Bacterial small subunit ribosomal RNA
Source: RNAcentral